CGAGACCGAUAGCGAACAAGUACCGUGAGGGAAAGAUGAAAAGAACUUUGAAAAGAGAGUUAAAGAGUACCUGAAACUGCUGAAAGGGAAGCGAAUCGUAUCCAGUGUCUAUAAUCUGCAGCAUAUUUCAUUGGCGAGUAGGUGCGUGCAGUAUGUAAGAAGUGGUUUUCUGCUCUUUGUGCUGUUCUGCGUUUGCUUGUUGGUGCCCUGUGUUGCGGUGGGACGUCAGAGUCAGUUCGUAUGCUGUGAGAAAUGGCUACUGAGGAGGUAGGUUAGGAGCUUGCUCUUGGCUGUUAUAUCUUGGUAGUUAGUUGUCGUGGUUGAGACUGAGGUGCC
This 336-nucleotide ribosomal RNA is filed under the name uncultured Oomycota. RNAcentral's name for it is "LSU rRNA". It matches the Rfam family "Eukaryotic large subunit ribosomal RNA", at positions 329 to 632 of the family's 3401-position model. The record is from RNAcentral. Lineage: Eukaryota; Oomycota.